ACGGCGUCAUUUGUCAACGGUCAAAUCAGUUCACCCGGUUCGGGUUUUUUUUUAUUUCUGCUCCGCCUUCGUUAUUGUUAUUAUUAUUUUGCCGUUGAUAACCCCAGACAUUCACGACUUCGCUGUAGGUGACUCUUUGCUCUUGGCUCGAUGUGUGCAUCCGGUAAAAGUCCACAAACACACACCCUGGAAAUGAUUAAUUGGAAGCCCACGGGAGUCACGUGGACGGGAAAGUUCAAGUAUCGAUUGUGAUUUUGAGUGCCAGGGAUGAGCGGAGGGGAAAGGCGCAGGGGGCGGACAAGAAGCGAAUCUCCCACAACUUCUAACUUUCAACUCCGAUUACCGGAUGCGGAUACACCUGCCAUGGAAACGAACGCCAGAAGCAGCCAAACCCAAGCCAAGCCAUGCGGACAGGUCAAAAAAAGGGCGCUCAACUCGCCGGUUUCCACUACACCACAAACAACAACUAGAUGCUGUGCUGGCCUUCCAAACACACACGCACGCACACACACAGACGGGCGGGGGUAUUGAAUGGAUCACCGGCUUUUUUGCUUUUGUUUUGCUUGUGCUGCGCUCUCGCUCGCACCCGCACUUUCCAGCCAGCGCACCGAUCAACGAAUGCUGUACGCGCCUGGAAAACAGGGCGUGUGUGUGCGGCGUGCAGCGGUGUGCGUGGGCACAGGUAGCCAUUUCCAGGCUUCCAGCAUCGAUUUUGCCUUUAAGUGCAAUAAAUGCCGAAUGCAAACUGCAAUUCAUAUCGCAGAAACAACAUUCAAUUCACCACGAAGCCGUUCACGCACUCACACACUGACGCACUCGCACACCUCUGCCCCGCUGCGAUCCGAUUUGUUUUUUUAUUUAUGCCGCGGCGAGUAAAUAAAAUAAACAAAACACACCGAGAACAUCACGCGACGGUCAAAUGAUAGCGAUAUUUACGGUGUUUACGACCCGUCUCACCUAUGUGGGUGUCCUCGAUGUGGGAAAUCAGAUCGCUCAAGCUCGGAAAUGUGAUGCCGCAGCCAUUGUAUUUGCAGACGUUGAUCAGGAAAACGGCCAUAAUAUAUAUCGUAUUGUCAUAUAUAUAUAUAUCACGUAUUCCGAGGCGAACGAAUGUGGCGAGUUAUGUAAAAAAAACAGCAACUAAGUCGGGGGCUGGUCAGUGUGGCCAGGUCAGCACUGCACCGAAACGUCCAUUUUCCAGGGCUGCAAUUUCAGCUUAGCGGCGACUCCCACCCACUUCCAAUGUGCUGUGGUGAGUUUAGGGGGUUAUGUGGCGUUUGAUCGGGCGAAUACUGUUCGUUGGUAAUUAAGCGAU
Long non-coding RNA from Drosophila simulans, 1315 nucleotides. RefSeq lists it as uncharacterized. NCBI's taxonomy places the organism in Eukaryota, Metazoa, Arthropoda, Insecta, Diptera, Drosophilidae. The transcript has 2 exons. The record is from RefSeq and is a predicted model, not a curated record.